Molecule: long non-coding RNA, 546 nt
Organism: Saccostrea cuccullata (small rock oyster)
Lineage: Eukaryota; Metazoa; Mollusca; Bivalvia; Ostreida; Ostreidae
Exons: 5
Source: RefSeq, a predicted model, not a curated record
UAAGCAUGUUUCUGGUUAAUACAAAGCUAUCGAGAAAAAAAUUAAGUAGUUUUACAAAGCAGGAGGGUUCUCCGACUUACGAUGGGUGAAUUGUGUGCCAUAAAAACUUGGGUGCGAGUGCCAACGAGGAAAAUUUCGAUCAAAGUACAGAUUUUUUUUAAAUCAGAGGACGAUAAUGUUAUUAUCAGCUGAUUAUACUUGUAGAGGAGGAGUUUUGUCAGUGUCCGAUGGGUACCAACAUCAUAUAUACUGUGGCUGCAUCACUUUUGUUUGGCAGAAGUACAAGAGAACAUGGUUGAGGAACACAGCUGAAAGAUGCAGUUGCUUUAAGCAGUGUCUAAGACGUUGAUCAACAUUCUUCAUAAUGCAAAUCAAAUACAGGUUAUUGUCUGCACAUCUUGCAUUGGAUGUUUUGAUCGAGAACUCAUCGAGCAUCAAGACCCGCCAUGUACCUAUCCUGUCAUGACAUUAUUAAAGUACUCUGUGACAGUGGGAAGAUGUAAUUUAAACAUGACAUGGCUCUAUGUUACUGCAUCAGAUAUCGAU